AGGAGAUCUCCUUGGCUUAAAAGAGGAUGAAUAUGACAAAUUGUUCGUAAUACUUUUGGACAUGCUUAGUGGAAUAUAAAUAGGCAGAAGAUCACCACCUUUUGUAGAGAAACAUGUGGUAUGAAACUUUUGUGUGACUCUAAAGUUAGAACUACUUGUUAGAAACAAUAUGUGUCAUUUACUGCCACCACUAGAUGAUGUAAUCAAAGAUAAUGGAUCAACAUGUGCCAAUAUAUGUGAUCAAGCUUUUGUUCUCUCCAAUAAUUACAACUGCCAUUAUAUGAGGAAGGUGAUGGUUAGGAUACAUGAGAAAAGAUCGUUGAUGGAGAAGUGGGUAGGAUCAAUUUGUCCAAACAUACAUAAGAAACUGAAUGCAUACAUCGUCGAUUCAGGAAACUGUCAUGCAAUCUGCAAUGGGAUGGACAAGUUUGAGGUUACUCAUCUCACUCAUAGGUUCAUAGUUGAUCUUGAAAGAAAAACUUGUUCAUGCAGAUAUUGGGAGUUGGGUGGGCUUCCAUGUUGCCAUGCAAUAGCCUGCAUACACUUUAGAACCAACUGCAUAGACAGUUAUAUUGCACCUUGCUACUCCAUAUAUUCUUUCAAAAAGACCUACAGCUUUGCUUUGGAACCAGUUCAGGGAAUGGAAAGCUGGCCUACAUCUGAUAGGCCAAGGCCACAUGCUCCAGGUUAUGUUAGAAUGCUAGGAAGGCCGUCCAAGAAAGAAAGGAGAAGAGAGCCACAUGAAAAGGCCAAAGCUACAAGGGUGUCAAGGGUUGGGUCAGUGAUGACUUGCAGGUUGUGCAAACUGCCUGAGCACAACAAGGCUUCAUGCCACAAGAGGUCAAAACAGCAGCAAGACAAUGUGCAGGUAGUAAAUAUUGUUGCACUAAUUUUGCAUCAAUUUACCAGCACAUCAAAAUUGUACUUUUAUGUUUUUUUGUACAACUUGCAGGCUCAAGGAUCUCAGCCAAUCUCUUCACAGGCCCAGGCUCAAGGAUCUCUGCCAAUCUCAGAAAAGGCUUCAUCAUCUGGAAAGAGAAAGGCUUCUUCAUCUACAAGGGCAGCUGGAAUGGUUGGGGUCAAGCAACCAAGACAGAAGUUGGAAGUUAGGAGAUCUCCUUGGCUUAAAAGAGGAUGAAUAUGACAAAUUGUUCGUAAUACUUUUGGACAUGCUUAGUGGAAUAGAAAUAGGCAGAAGAUCACCACCUUUUGUAGAGAAACAUGUGGUAUGAAACUUUUGUGUGACUCUAAAGUUAGAACUACUUGUUAGAAACAAUAUGUGUCAUUUACUGCCACCACUAGAUGAUGUAAUCAAAGAUA
RNAcentral lists this long non-coding RNA (1320 nucleotides) under Oryza brachyantha (malo sina). RNAcentral describes it as "long non-coding RNA (OBRA_LNC002710)". The record is from RNAcentral. Lineage: Eukaryota; Viridiplantae; Streptophyta; Magnoliopsida; Poales; Poaceae.